Molecule: ribosomal RNA, 776 nt
Filed under: uncultured Comamonadaceae bacterium
Lineage: Bacteria; Pseudomonadati; Pseudomonadota; Betaproteobacteria; Burkholderiales; Comamonadaceae
Description: bacterial SSU rRNA
Rfam family: Bacterial small subunit ribosomal RNA
Source: RNAcentral
UUUACACAUGCAAGUCGAACGGUAGAGGGGGCAACCCCUCGAGAGUGGCGAACGGGUGAGUAAUAUAUCGGAACGUGCCCAGUCGUGGGGGAUAACGUAGCGAAAGUUACGCUAAUACCGCAUACGAUCUACGGAUGAAAGCGGGGGACUCGCAAGAGCCUCGCGCGAUUGGAGCGGCCGAUAUCAGAUUAGGUAGUUGGUGGGGUAAAGGCUCACCAAGCCAACGAUCUGUAGCUGGUCUGAGAGGACGACCAGCCACACUGGAACUGAGACACGGUCCAGACUCCUACGGGAGGCAGCAGUGGGGAAUUUUGGACAAUGGACGCAAGUCUGAUCCAGCCAUUCCGCGUGCAGGAUGAAGGCCCUCGGGUUGUAAACUGCUUUUGUACGGAACGAAAAGGUCUCUCUUAAUACGAGGGGCUCAUGACGGUACCGUAAGAAUAAGCACCGGCUAACUACGUGCCAGCAGCCGCGGUAAUACGUAGGGUGCAAGCGUUAAUCGGAAUUACUGGGCGUAAAGCGUGCGCAGGCGGUUAUGUAAGACAGAGGUGAAAUCCCCGGGCUCAACCUGGGAACUGCCUUUGUGACUGCAUAGCUAGAGUACGGUAGAGGGGGAUGGAAUUCCGCGUGUAGCAGUGAAAUGCGUAGAUAUGCGGAGGAACACCGAUGGCGAAGGCAAUCCCCUGGACCUGUACUGACGCUCAUGCACGAAAGCGUGGGGAGCAAACAGGAUUAGAUACCCUGGUAGUCCACGCCCUAAACGAUGUCAACUGGUU